GUGAGCAUAGUUUAACGAAGACGUCAGAUUGUGAUUCUGAAAAUAGAGGUUAGUACCCUCUUGCCCACC
This 69-nucleotide transfer RNA is filed under the name Symbolophorus californiensis (bigfin lanternfish). RNAcentral describes it as "tRNA-His". It matches the Rfam family "tRNA". From Rfam's summary of the family: Transfer RNA (tRNA) molecules are approximately 80 nucleotides in length. Lineage: Eukaryota; Metazoa; Chordata; Actinopteri; Myctophiformes; Myctophidae. The record is from RNAcentral.